GAUGAACGCUAGCGGCAGGCCUAAUACAUGCAAGACGAACGGUAAGUUGAGUAGCAAUACUUAGCCAAGAGUGUCGUACGGGUGCGUAACACGUAUGCAACCUACCCUAUACAGGAGGAUAGCCUAGGGAAACCUGGAUUAACCCUUCAUAGUAUUAUUGGAUGGCAUCAUUUGAUAAUUAAAACUGAGGUGGUAUAGGAUGGGCAUGCGUCUGAUUAGUUAGUUGGCGGGGUAAUGGCCCACCAAGACGAUGAUCAGUAGGGGUUCUGAGAGGAAGAUCCCCCACACUGGCACUGAGAUACGGGCCAGACUCCUACGGGAGGCAGCAGUAGGGAAUAUUGGUCAAUGGAUGCAAGUCUGAACCAGCCAUGCCGCGUGCAGGAAGAAGGCCUUUCUGGGGUUGUAAACUGCUUUUGCCAGGGGAUAAAAUUUCCAUGCGUGGAAAACUGAAGGUACCUGGUGAAUAAGCCACGGCUAACUACGUGCCAGCAGCCGCGGUAAUC
This 503-nucleotide ribosomal RNA is filed under the name uncultured bacterium. RNAcentral's name for it is "bacterial SSU rRNA". It matches the Rfam family "Bacterial small subunit ribosomal RNA", at positions 28 to 525 of the family's 1533-position model. The record is from RNAcentral.